GUACACUCCUACGGGAGGCAGCAGUGGGGAAUAUUGCACAAUGGGCGCAAGCCUGAUGCAGCCAUGCCGCGUGUAUGAAGAAGGCCUUCGGGUUGUAAAGUACUUUCAGCGGGGAGGAAGGCGAUAAGGUUAAUAACCUUGUCGAUUGACGUUACCCGCAGAAGAAGCACCGGCUAACUCCGUGCCAGCAGCCGCGGUAAUACGGAGGGUGCAAGCGUUAAUCGGAAUUACUGGGCGUAAAGCGCACGCAGGCGGUCUGUCAAGUCGGAUGUGAAAUCCCCGGGCUCAACCUGGGAACUGCAUUCGAAACUGGCAGGCUAGAGUCUUGUAGAGGGGGGUAGAAUUCCAGGUGUAGCGGUGAAAUGCGUAGAGAUCUGGAGGAAUACCGGUGGCGAAGGCGGCCCCCUGGACAAAGACUGACGCUCAGGUGCGAAAGCGUGGGGAGCAAACAGGAUUAGAUACCCGUGUAGUCCCAUGAU
This 479-nucleotide ribosomal RNA is filed under the name uncultured organism. Its description in RNAcentral is "partial 16S ribosomal RNA". It matches the Rfam family "Bacterial small subunit ribosomal RNA", at positions 331 to 801 of the family's 1533-position model. The record is from RNAcentral.